GACAAACGCUGGCGGCGUGCCUAAUACAUGCAAGUCGAACGACGAAAGCCUUCGGGCAAGUAAGAGUGGCGCACGGGCGAGGAACACGUAGAUAAUCUGCCCUUCAGUGGGGAAUAACUCUCCGAGAGGAGUGCUAAUACCGCAUAAGACCACAAGCUCUGCGGAGCAAGGGGUUAAAGGAUUUAUUCGCUGAAGGAUGAGUCUGCGUCCGAUUAGCUAGUUGGUGAGGUAAUGGCUUACCAAGGCAAUGAUCGGUAGAUGGUCUGAGAGGAUGAUCAUCCGCACUGGAACUGAGACACGGUCCAGACUCCUACGGGAGGCAGCAGUAGGGAAUAUUGCACAAUGGGGGAAACCCUGAUGCAGCAACGCCGCGUGAGUGAUGAAGGCUCUAGGGUCGUAAAGCUCUGUCGUAUGGGAAGAAAAAAAUGACGGUACCAUACAAGAAAGGACCGGCCAACUUCGUGCCAGCAGCCGCAGUAA
RNAcentral lists this ribosomal RNA (480 nucleotides) under uncultured bacterium. Its description in RNAcentral is "partial 16S ribosomal RNA". It matches the Rfam family "Bacterial small subunit ribosomal RNA", at positions 28 to 523 of the family's 1533-position model. The record is from RNAcentral.